CCUACGGGUGGCAGCAGUGAGGAAUAUUGGUCAAUGGACGAGAGUCUGAACCAGCCAAGUAGCGUGAAGGAUGAAUGCCCUAUGGGUUGUAAACUUCUUCUAUAUGGGAAUAAAAUUUUCUACGUGUGGGAUUUUGUAUUUACCAUAUGAAUAAGGAUCGGCUAACUUCGUGCCAGCAGCCCAGGUACUACGGAGGGUCCGAGCGUUAUCUGGAUUUAUUUGGUUUAAAGGGAGCGUAGGUGGAUGGUUAAGUCAGUUGUGAAAGUUUGCGGCUCAACCGUAAAAUUGCAGUUGAUACUGGCAGUCUAGAGUACAGUAGAGGUGGGCAGAAUUCGAGGUGUAGCGGUGAAAUGCUUAGA
This 359-nucleotide ribosomal RNA is filed under the name uncultured bacterium. RNAcentral's name for it is "partial 16S ribosomal RNA". It matches the Rfam family "Bacterial small subunit ribosomal RNA", at positions 338 to 694 of the family's 1533-position model. The record is from RNAcentral.